UUAAGCAUAAAUCUCUGUCUCUCUCUAUAUCAUAGGAAAUCAAGUUCCUUGGUACGAGUUUUCACUUGCACAAACAGGUUGAUGAGUUUUACUCAGAUUGCUUGAGAAUGCAAUUUUAUAGCCAACUAAAAAGUCUCAGAUGUACUGGCAGUGCGUUUUUGAUGAUGUUAUCGAUUUUCCUGAGAGGUCACAAUUUCUGCGAGCGAAGAUAUUAAUAACGACAAAGGCCUUUUUCGCUUCUUCGUCAAGUUUUCGAGCAACUCUGUCAACUGCUGCCUAAUCCCCCAACAUGCACAAGAAUUGAGAGCUGUCCAGGGACUUCCAGAGGGAAUUUGCGACUAGAAAGAAGAUAGGCCAGAAAAAACAAGGUGCAACGAGAGAAUCGAGCAGUGAAAUUCAUUGGAGAUAAAAAUACUGUAAGAAGAGAAUGAAAACAUGCACGUGCUUGAAAUUUUCGAGAGGGAAAUAGAUGGAAGCCAGGUCUAUUAUACACGGAAUGGAAGGAUACAAUAUACAAAUCGUAUUCCUAUUCCUAUUACAACACUCCCUCUCAAGCUGGUGCGUACAAGUCUUAUGUACCAAACUUGUUACAAAUGUAAUUAAUACGAGGAUCAGUGAGGGACUUGGUGAAAAUAUCUGCAAGUUGAUCACUUGACUUCACAAGUUUUGUAAUAAUAUCUCAAGAGUGUAUCUUUUCUCUGACAAAUUGACAGCCAAUCUGAAUGUGCGCUCAUGAAAUACCGGAUUUGAUGCGA
Long non-coding RNA from Lycium ferocissimum, 755 nucleotides. RefSeq lists it as uncharacterized. Lineage: Eukaryota; Viridiplantae; Streptophyta; Magnoliopsida; Solanales; Solanaceae. The record is from RefSeq and is a predicted model, not a curated record. The transcript has 2 exons.